RNAcentral lists this transfer RNA (73 nucleotides) under Vicugna pacos (alpaca). RNAcentral's name for it is "tRNA-Ala (AGC) (tRNA-Ala-AGC-473-1)". It matches the Rfam family "tRNA". Rfam says of the family: Transfer RNA (tRNA) molecules are approximately 80 nucleotides in length. Their secondary structure includes four short double-helical elements and three loops (D, anti-codon, and T loops). Further hydrogen bonds mediate the characteristic L-shaped molecular structure. tRNAs have two regions of fundamental functional importance: the anti-codon, which is responsible for specific mRNA codon recognition, and the 3' end, to which the tRNAs corresponding amino acid is attached (by aminoacyl-tRNA synthetases). tRNAs cope with the degeneracy of the genetic code in two manners: having more than one tRNA (with a specific anti-codon) for a particular amino acid; and 'wobble' base-pairing, i.e. permitting non-standard base-pairing at the 3rd anti-codon position. The record is from RNAcentral. Lineage: Eukaryota; Metazoa; Chordata; Mammalia; Artiodactyla; Camelidae.
GGAGGGUAUAGCUCAGUGGUAGAGUGCCUGCUUAGCAUGCAUGAGGUCCUGGGUUCAAUCCCCAGUACUUCCA